RNAcentral lists this ribosomal RNA (840 nucleotides) under uncultured Bacteriovorax sp. Its description in RNAcentral is "bacterial SSU rRNA". It matches the Rfam family "Bacterial small subunit ribosomal RNA", at positions 43 to 864 of the family's 1533-position model. Lineage: Bacteria; Pseudomonadati; Bdellovibrionota; Bacteriovoracia; Bacteriovoracales; Bacteriovoracaceae. The record is from RNAcentral.
UUUGCCUAACACAUGCAAGUCGAACGUGAAAGUCCUUCGGGAUGAGUAAAGUGGCGCACGACUGAGUAACACGUAGGUGACCUGCCUUUUAGAGGGGAAUAACCAGAAGAAAUUUUGGCUAAUGCCGCAUACGAAGCACGGUUUUAAGACUGUGCUUGAAAGAAUGCCUCUGCAUAUGCAUUCGCUAUUAGAUGGGCCUGCGGGACAUUAGCUAGUUGGUGGGGUAAAGGCCUACCAAGGCGACGAUGUCUAUCCGGUCUGAGAGGAUGAUCGGACACACUGGAACUGAGACACGGUCCAGACUCCUACGGGAGGCAGCAGUGGGGAAUAUUGCGCAAUGGGGGAAACCCUGACGCAGCAACGCCGCGUGAGUGAGGAAGGACUUCGGUCUGUAAAGCUCUGUUAAUGUGGAAAAAUGGCAGUUGGUCUAAUAGGCCGAUUGUUUGAUGGUACACAUAGAGGAAGCACCGGCUAACUUCGUGCCAGCAGCCGCGGUAAUACGAAGGGUGCAAGCGUUGUUCGGAUUUAUUGGGCGUAAAUCGCGCGUAGGCGGACCUGCAAGUCAGAUGUGAAAUCUCGGGGCUCAACCUCGAAACUGCGUCUGAAACUACAGGUCUAGAAUCUCGGAGGGGGAAGGGGAAUAUCGCAUGUAGGGGUAAAAUCCGUAGAUAUGCGAUGGAACACCAGAGGCGAAGGCGCCUUCCUGGACGAGUAUUGACGAUGAGGCGCGAAAGCGUGGGGAUCAAACAGGAUUAGAUACCCUGGUAGUCCACGCUGUAAACGAUGAACACUAGAUAUUGGAGGAUUUGUCCCCUUCAGUGUCGUAGCUAACGCGUUCCC